GCGAUCUCUUCUUCGUUCGGGGGCUUGAAAAAUCUCGGAGACGGAGUCAAGUAAAAGCGAACGAUUUUCCAAGUAUUAGAAGAUUAGGAUCGAGGGUCUAAACUCUAAUCGUCGUAGAAAGACACGAUCAGCCGUGACUAGCACCAUACGAGUCCAUAAUCUACAAGCACGAACUAGUGACAAACGCAGACGGCUAAAUCUACCGGACCACUACCAGAACACCAACCAGAAAUUUUCUAUAUUCCUCGUCGUCCUAGUCGUUCUAGUCGUCCUAGUCAGUCGUCCUAGUCGUCGUCAGGUGGCUUUAUUCGAGAGAGAUUAUAGCACGAUCGAGGUAAUGCUGCUUUGUUAUUACCGUAUGCCGUGCGUUCGAGAAGGCCUUAAUGUCGCCACGGCAC
Vespa velutina is the source of this 398-nucleotide long non-coding RNA. RefSeq lists it as uncharacterized. The record is from RefSeq and is a predicted model, not a curated record. NCBI's taxonomy places the organism in Eukaryota, Metazoa, Arthropoda, Insecta, Hymenoptera, Vespidae. The transcript is spliced from 3 exons.